GGAAGAGCUACGGCUCAGUGGUUAGAGCAAGAAGGUCGCGGGUUCGAUCCCCGGCAUCUCCA
RNAcentral lists this transfer RNA (62 nucleotides) under Podarcis lilfordi (Lilford's wall lizard). RNAcentral's name for it is "tRNA.Ser". The record is from RNAcentral. Lineage: Eukaryota; Metazoa; Chordata; Lepidosauria; Squamata; Lacertidae.